Molecule: ribosomal RNA, 165 nt
Filed under: Inhambanella henriquesii
Lineage: Eukaryota; Viridiplantae; Streptophyta; Magnoliopsida; Ericales; Sapotaceae
Description: 5.8S ribosomal RNA
Rfam family: 5.8S ribosomal RNA
About the family: 5.8S ribosomal RNA (5.8S rRNA) is a component of the large subunit of the eukaryotic ribosome. It is transcribed by RNA polymerase I as part of the 45S precursor that also contains 18S and 28S rRNA. Functionally, it is thought that 5.8S rRNA may be involved in ribosome translocation.
Source: RNAcentral
AUAACGACUCUCGGCAACGGAUAUCUCGGCUCUCGCAUCGAUGAAGAACGUAGCGAAAUGCGAUACUUGGUGUGAAUUGCAGAAUCCCGUGAACCAUCGAGUCUUUGAACGCAAGUUGCGCCCGAAGCCAGUAGGCUGAGGGCACGCCUGCCUGGGCGUCUCACA